Molecule: ribosomal RNA, 505 nt
Filed under: uncultured bacterium
Lineage: Bacteria
Description: partial 16S ribosomal RNA
Rfam family: Bacterial small subunit ribosomal RNA
Source: RNAcentral
GACGAACGCUGGCGGCGUGCCUAAUACAUGCAAGUAGAACGCACAGUUUAUACCGUAGCUUGCUACACCAUAGACUGUGAGUUGCGAACGGGUGAGUAACGCGUAGGUAACCUGCCUGGUAGCGGGGGAUAACUAUUGGAAACGAUAGCUAAUACCGCAUAAUAUUGAUUAUUGCAUGAUAAUUGAUUGAAAGAUGCUAUUGCAUCACUACCAGAUGGACCUGCGUUGUAUUAGCUAGUAGGUGAGGUAACGGCUCACCUAGGCGACGAUACAUAGCCGUCCUGAGAGGGUGAUCGGCCACACUGGGACUGAGACACGGCCCAGACUCCUACGGGAGGCAGCAGUAGGGAAUCUUCGGCAAUGGACGAAAGUCUGACCGAGCAACGCCGCGUGAGUGAAGAAGGUUUUCGGAUCGUAAAGCUCUGUUGUAAGAGAAGAACGGGUGUGAGAGUGGAAAGUUCACACUGUGACGGUAGCUUACCAGGAAGGGACGGCUAACUACGUG